AGCACGGGNGCANUCCUGGUGGCGAGUGGCGAACGGGUGNNUAAUACAUCGGAACGUGUCCUGUAGUGGGGGAUAGCCCGGCGAAAGCCGGAUUAAUACCGCAUACGCUCUACGGAGGAAAGGGGGGGAUCUUAGGACCUCCCGCUACAGGGGCGGCCGAUGGCAGAUUAGCUAGUUGGUGGGGUAAAGGCCUACCAAGGCGACGAUCUGUAGCUGGUCUGAGAGGACGACCAGCCACACUGGGACUGAGACACGGCCCAGACUCCUACGGGAGGCAGCAGUGGGGAAUUUUGGACAAUGGGGGAAACCCUGAUCCAGCAAUGCCGCGUGUGUGAAGAAGGCCUUCGGGUUGUAAAGCACUUUUGUCCGGAAAGAAAACCUCUGGGUUAAUACCCCGGGGGGAUGACGGUACCGGAAGAAUAAGCACCGGCUAACUACGUGCCAGCAGCCGCGGUAAUACNUAGGGUGCAAGCGUUAAUCGGAAUUACUGGGCGUAAAGCGUGCGCAGGCGGUCCGCUAAGACAGAUGUGAAAUCCCC
RNAcentral lists this ribosomal RNA (538 nucleotides) under Paraburkholderia sp. Its description in RNAcentral is "bacterial SSU rRNA". It matches the Rfam family "Bacterial small subunit ribosomal RNA", at positions 71 to 604 of the family's 1533-position model. The record is from RNAcentral. Lineage: Bacteria; Pseudomonadati; Pseudomonadota; Betaproteobacteria; Burkholderiales; Burkholderiaceae.